GCCUGAGCGGGGUAAAGCCAGA
This 22-nucleotide small nuclear RNA is filed under the name Arabidopsis thaliana (thale cress). RNAcentral's name for it is "snRNA_06038". Lineage: Eukaryota; Viridiplantae; Streptophyta; Magnoliopsida; Brassicales; Brassicaceae. The record is from RNAcentral.